UAUAUAUGUUUAUUGUUAUUAAAAAUGUAGAUAAGUUAUAUGCUAAUAGUUGCUGAAACAGUAUAUACAUAUUUUAUAUAUUAAUUGUUGCUCAAAGUUUAAUAUUUUUUAUGUAAAUAGAGGCUGAAAGCGUAAAUAUUUUAUUUGUUGCUUAAACAGUAAUUGAUGCUGUUACUGUGUGUAUUUGAUUUGUGUUUGUUUAAUCUACACUGACUAGUCACUAGAUGCAUUAGGGGGCAGGGUUGAUAUCUCACAAAACAAGUUUAACCCCACCAAAUUUUGGUUCAUAUAGUUAAAUAAACUCAUCAUAGAUACCAGGACUAAAUUUUGUAUAUACGCCAGACGCGUGUUUCGUCUACAAAAGACUCAUCAGUGACGCUCGAAUCCAAACAAGUUAAAAAAGCCAAAUAAAGUAUGAGUUUGAAGAGCAUUGAGGACCAAAUUUCCUAAAAGUUUUGUCAAAUCCAGCUAAGGUAAUCUAUGCUUAAGUGUGACAUCCUUAUUUGCUGAACUAGUUUUUAUUUUUGAUAAGGGCCUAGCUGAAACUGGCAUCAGAGUGUUGGAUUAUCUCACUGUGUUGAAACCCUGAGGUUGUUGUCUAUUUGACUUAUUCAACAUUUCCAAUUUUCCAUUUUAUUUUUUUAAUUGAAAUGAUUUUGAAAAAAAGUAUUUAACAGUUUCUUAUCUGUAUUUCAUCUUUCAAACACAAUCCCUUGGUACAUAUUAAAAAUUAAUCUUUUUUCUAAACUUAGUGUCGCAUAAAUAGCUGUAUUUGUAUUACUGGUAUUAUUAGAUUUGACGAUUAUUAAUUAUAAUUUUUUUAACAAAAAAUA
This 833-nucleotide long non-coding RNA is filed under the name Mytilus galloprovincialis (Mediterranean mussel). The record is from RNAcentral. Lineage: Eukaryota; Metazoa; Mollusca; Bivalvia; Mytilida; Mytilidae.